RNAcentral lists this transfer RNA (73 nucleotides) under Ictidomys tridecemlineatus (thirteen-lined ground squirrel). RNAcentral describes it as "Spermophilus tridecemlineatus (thirteen-lined ground squirrel) tRNA". It matches the Rfam family "tRNA". From Rfam's summary of the family: Transfer RNA (tRNA) molecules are approximately 80 nucleotides in length. Their secondary structure includes four short double-helical elements and three loops (D, anti-codon, and T loops). Lineage: Eukaryota; Metazoa; Chordata; Mammalia; Rodentia; Sciuridae. The record is from Rfam by way of RNAcentral.
GGGGAUGCAGCUCAGUUGGUAGGGCGCUUACCUCUCAUGCACAAGGCCCUGGGUUCGAUCCCCAGCACCACCA